GACGAACGCUGGCGGCGUGCUUAACACAUGCAAGUCGAACGGAAAGGCCCUGCUUUUGUGGUGUGCUCGAGUGGCGAACGGGUGAGUAACACGUGAGUAACCUGCCCUUGACUUUGGGAUAACUUCAGGAAACUGGGGCUAAUACCGGAUAGGAGCUCCUGCUGCAUUGUGGGGAUUGGAAAUUUUCGGCGGUUGGGGAUGGACUCGCGGCUUAUCAGCUUGUUGGUGGGGUAGUGGCUUACCAAGGCUUUGACGGGUAGCCGGCCUGAGAGGGUGACCGGCCACAUUGGGCCUGAGAUACGGCCCAGACUCCUACGGGAGGCAGCAGUGGGGAAUAUUGCACAAUGGGCGGAAGCCUGAUGCAGCAACGCCGCGUGCGGGAUGACGGCCUUCGGGUUGUAAACCGCUUUCGCCUGUGACGAAGCGUGAGUGACGGUAAUGGGUAAAGAAGCACCGGCUAACUACGUG
This 468-nucleotide ribosomal RNA is filed under the name uncultured bacterium. RNAcentral's name for it is "partial 16S ribosomal RNA". It matches the Rfam family "Bacterial small subunit ribosomal RNA", at positions 28 to 507 of the family's 1533-position model. The record is from RNAcentral.